UCCGUAGGCGGUUUUGUAAGUCAGUGGUGAAAGCCCAUCGCUCAACGGUGGAACGGCCAUUGAUACUGCAAGACUUGAAUUAUUAGGAAGUAACUAGAAUAUGUAGUGUAGCGGUGAAAUGCUUAGAGAUUACAUGGAAUACCAAUUGCGAAGGCAGGUUACUACUAAUGGAUUGACGCUGAUGGACGAAAGCGUGGGAGCGAACA
RNAcentral lists this ribosomal RNA (206 nucleotides) under uncultured bacterium. RNAcentral's name for it is "partial 16S ribosomal RNA". It matches the Rfam family "Bacterial small subunit ribosomal RNA", at positions 568 to 774 of the family's 1533-position model. The record is from RNAcentral.